GCCUUUAGCCAAACAAGUAUUAAAGGUCCCGCCUGCCCAGUGAUUUUUUCAACGGCCGCGGUAUUCUAACCGUGCAAAGGUAGCGUAAUCACUUGUCUUUUAAAUAAAGACCUGUAUGAACGGCUAAAUGAGGAUAAACCUGUCUCAUAUAACUAAUCAGUGAAACUGAUCUUCCAGUACAAAAGCUGGGAUAACCACAUAAGACGAGAAGACCCUGUGGAGCUUAAAACAACCACUAAACAAUUACCCAAUUGACUUUAGUGUUCGUUUUCAGUUGGGGCGACUUCGGAAUAAAAAAUAACUUCCGAGCACAGAGCCACAACCUCUAACCGAGGCCAACAAGCCAAAGCAUUAAAAUCGACCCGGCCCAAGCCGAUCAACGAACCAAGUUACCCCAGGGAUAACAGCGCAAUCUUCUUCGAGAGCCCCUAUCAACAAGAAGGUUUACGACCUCGAUGUUGGAUCAGGACACCCAAAUGGUGCAGCCGCUAUUAAAGGUUCGUUUGUUCAACGAUUAACAGUCC
RNAcentral lists this ribosomal RNA (524 nucleotides) under Marisora roatanae. RNAcentral describes it as "partial 16S ribosomal RNA". It matches the Rfam family "Bacterial large subunit ribosomal RNA", at positions 1818 to 2596 of the family's 2925-position model. Lineage: Eukaryota; Metazoa; Chordata; Lepidosauria; Squamata; Scincidae. The record is from RNAcentral.